RNAcentral lists this long non-coding RNA (29015 nucleotides) under Ananas comosus (pineapple). RNAcentral's name for it is "long non-coding RNA (ACOM_LNC017795)". The record is from RNAcentral. Lineage: Eukaryota; Viridiplantae; Streptophyta; Magnoliopsida; Poales; Bromeliaceae.
AAGAAGAGCUUCCAAACCUUCUUCUCCUUCUUCUCCUUCCUUUUCUUCCUCUCUUUUUUCUUCUUCUUCCUUCUCUUUUCCUUUUCUCCUUCUUCUCCUUCUAUUCGGCUAGAGAGAGAGAGUAGAGAGAGAGUGAGCUGAGGAGAGUGAGAGGCUGAGAGAGAGGGGUUUAAGUCCUCUAUUGUAACAAAAUCCCGAAAAGCCCCUCUAUUUUCUAAUUUUCCAAACUGAUCCUGCUGUUCGUGCGCCCUUGUACCGGUACACAGGAUCUUGUUCCGGUACAAGGCCUGGGUGACAGCAAAACAGAGCGCAACCCGAGAGCUCGGGUUCUCGGUUUCGCAGAGCUUGUACCGGUACAAGCCCCUUGUACUGGUACAGCGCCUGAAGCCUUCAAACCCGAGAGCUACGCAGCCUGGCUGCGAUGGUUGUACCGGUACAACCAUCACCCUUGUACCGGUACAGCAGCUCCAGAAUGCUGUUUUAACUUUGUUUCGGCUCCACUUCGCGCCGAUCGAUGUCCAAACCAUUCCAAUACCUUUAGAACUCACUUUUGCUCUUUCAAACUUGUCGGAAUGCCGAAUGGAACUUGUCCAAAUCGUUUAAUCGCCCACUUUGCCCCAUUUGGCCAAAGUUAGCCGACGUCGUCGAAUUUCGAUAUCGUACACAUCAAGUUGGAGAAGAAGCUUGGAGGAGCUCUCUAAUGAUGGACCAUGUUUCUUGACCAUGAUGCCUAAGGUGAGAUUAAUGGAUUUGAGUUAGGAGUUGGAUUAAGUCCUUUACAAUUGAUGUGAUUGAGAUCUCUAUGUGAUUCCAAACUAGCUUCGUUGAAGAUUGAACAUGGAUUUUGGAGUGUUCUUGAUGAAAUAGAAACCCUAGGUUGAUAAUAAGGGAUUUUGUGGUUUUGGGGUUUUGAGUUAAAUUGACCUUGUAAAUCUCUAAUUGCAGGGUAGCUCGACACGAGGGACUACUCCAAUGUGGAUUUCGGCGAGGCUAUGUUGUCUAAUUUGGAGAUUUUGUCGAAUUUCAUUCGUUAGGCUUGGGUCGAGCCAAAUCGAUGUCAAAAAUCGAAUGUUUGGAAAUCCUAGCAAUUGGUAAUUAAACGAGGUCGGUGGUGCUCUCCAAAAUGGUUGGAUUUUUCUUUAUGUCUAAACUCCAUUCGUUGUGCAUGUAUGUGUGAGAUUGUGUAUGAUAGGGUUCAAUUACUUAUUCUUUCUAGAAGCUUGCAUGCCUCCUAAAUUAGAUAUGAAUGAUUGUAAUGGAAAACUUGGAAUUUAGGAUCCAUUAGUAUGGUGUCGUGUGAACCCUUGUGAUACAAGAACUAGUUGAUUGGUCAUAUGUGUAUAUAUGUGAAAUUCUAUGCAUGUAGGGUUAAUAUUGUGAUUGAGCUUUCAAUUUUCUUGCAUGCUUUCUAAAAUAGGGUUCGACAAAUUUGAUUGAGAACUCGGACAUUGGAUGUAUGAGGAUUGGGUCGUGGGACAUUGGAACCUUAUGAAUGCAAAGAACUAGACUAUAAACUUAGAAAACAUUGUGGAAUGUUGGACAUGAACUUAGUGGCAUCUUUGACUAGUUGUUUGGAUAUAGAAAACAAAGUGAAAUACUAGGUGUCAUUGUGAGUCUAAACAUGAGCCUAAAGACGGAAAUAUGGUUGGGUAUCCUAUUUUGCAAGUAGAGAACAUGAACGUCGUGUGUCAUGAUUGUAUAAGUGAGUUUGUUGUCGUAGUUGCGCAAGAUUUGAGAUGAGCAUAUUAGGGAUUGGUAGACCCCCGUGUGUUGUUACUGUUGUUACCUUGGUUAGGAGUGUGUUCUCGAGAUAAGAGGACUGGAUCGUACUAACACAUAGUAUGUAACACACUGGACCUUUGCAAAUUGCGAGGUUCGAGUGAUUGGAUGUGUUUCGAGCUUUUCCACACUUGGUGGAGGGUCGUAGAAUGUUUUCCGAUCCAAAAAGUUCGAAAACUUGAGUUUUGGACGAAACCUGAGAGUUUUUACUCUCGGGGACCGGUCCCUGAUAGGAGAGACCGGUCCCCCAGUGAGCAGUGUUGCGGUAGCCUCGGGGCAACCGGUCCCUGGCGGGCGAGACCGGUCCCCGAGCGCGUCUGCGCGGGAAGAGACCGGUCCCGUGCGGGGAGAGACUGGUUCCCGAACGUGGUUUUUCUGGGGGCAGGCCGAGAGACCUGUCCCAUGUCGGGGAGACCGGUCCCUCAGCCCGAAAACUGCCCAGACCGGGCUUUGCACAGGAUGCAAAGUUGAGGGGUUUUUCUGGAUUUUGUUACACUAGAUGACCUAUAUGGCCACUCCACUCUCUCUUCUCCUCAUUUCUUUCCUCACACUCUCCCCACACUCUUGUUAGAGAGAGAAGAAGGAGAAGAAGAAGAAGGAGAAGAAGAGGAGGGGGAUCUAGCUUGGACUUGGAGCAAUUUCUUUGCCUUUCUUUCUCUUCCCACCUUGUUGGUGCUUGGAGGCUUGGACUUGGAGCUUGCAAGAGAGGAGAUCUUCACCUUUGGAGCUUGGAUUGGAGUUUCUAAAGAGGUUAGUUGCUAAUUUCCCUCCUCUAGACCUUGAUUUGUUGGUUUUUAGGAGAUGAAACCCUAGAAUGGGAUUUUAGGGUUGAUUUUGGACAUUUUGAUUUUAGGGCUUUUGAGGCUCGAUUACUUGGUUUAGAAUCUUCCUUUGGGUUGGAUUGGAAGGAUUCUAGCUCUCUUUUGGAGCUUGAGAGAGAUUUUCUACUCCCUAGGUGAGUUUUUGCCAUUUUCUUGUGAUUGUUAAUGUUUGAGCCUAGAGUUGCUCGUAACGCUUGUGUAUCUCUUCGCUCACUACUUUUAGGGUAUUUUGAGACUCGUGGACAACUUCGUUCGGCGAAACGAGGGGCUACGCGAUGGUUCGGUGGGUUUGACCUAGCCACACAAUGAGAAAAUCUCAUUUGUGAUGAUUUGAGUAUCGUUAAAUAAAAAAGCAUGCAUAAUCAUGUUAGAUAUAUUUAUUAUGAAUUUUAGAAUGCUUAACAUGCAUAUGUUAUGUAUAGUAAAUUUUGGACCUUCAUGUGGUAGGGUGCAUGCAUGUGAGAUAUAGCAUUCUAGUUCAGACUUGGAACCAUGAUUUCUAUUAUGAAAAUGAACAUUGCUUUCAUGCAUUUAACCUUUAUGCCCAAUUGUGACACUAGGGACUUUGGAAGCCUAGAGAGGCUUGGGGACUUAGACUAUUUGAGAUUUUGGGCCAAUGUCAUAAAGAGGCAUUGGACUCCAACCUUAGUGAGCAUCGGUAUUAAUGUCUUAAAUGAGAAUAUAGAACAUGAUUUGGGCUUGAUUAGUUGUGGUGCUUGAGUGUCAUAAAGAGGCACGAAGCAAGUGAGUGUUGGGUUAUCACAUUGUGACAUAGAGCUAGACCGUUGGGUCACUAGUAGCUAUUGCCAUGUUUGAGACAUGAGAGUUGGAUACUUGAGCUUUGAUUACGCUUGUUUGCCAUUUGUGCUCAUUCGCACAUGCUUGUGAGGGUCGCUCCCUGCAAGCCGACACUCCGGAGUUAGCCUACGCGACUUAUGUUCGCUCGUGCGGUAUUGAGAAGCCUACGGGGUCGAGUGGGACAGACACAUUCCAAGAGUAGGAAUGUUGGGCUACCACAGGCACUUAGGCGGCACAAGAUGGACUACCUUGGGUAGGUCCUUAAUUGGAAAUGGAAAUCGACACAGUGUGUUGAGUGUGUUAUGAUCACUACUAGAUAGAGAGUAGUAGUUAGAUUACUUGGACUUGCUUCUAGCAUAGUUUUGGACGCUUGGGUAUACAUACAUACAUGUAGUAUGCUAGAAGAUGUUGCUUAUUGCAUUCAUAUAUACAUUGUUGCCAUGAUAAAGCGUGACCUUCAUAACUUCAUAAAGUAAAUCGUGAUAUUUACUUGUGGCCAUGUAGAGACAUAUUGCUUAUGACAAAGUAAAGGUGCAUCAUUUUAACACCAUAUGUAAUUGCAAUGUAGUAUCUUAGCAUUUUAAUUAUGCUUUCUUAAAUGCAAUUAUUUAUUAUUAUUGCUCUCUUUUUGACUUACCCUUUCUUUGGAGCCUAGUGGUGCAUUGAGCUGAGAUCAGUAAUUGCCCAUUGGGAACUAUAAAUUAUAGUUCUCACGCCCUCUGUUUUAUGUUUUCUUUCAGAGCCUUCCAUGCCGGGAGAGGCUAGGGACCGUGGGAAGGGCGUUGCUUCGAGCUAGCUCUUCAGCGAGUGACGAGUUCUAGGUGGUCUACCUCUCGAUAUAUUUUAUUUUAGAGAGGUUGAGAGCUGUACCAGUGUACUAGAGACCACCCUUUUGUGUACCUUUUGGACAGAUAUUGUAUAUCUAUAUGUUUCACUCUUAUUGCUCUAGUAUACCUCUUUUACCUUGUUAUAGACUAUAGAUCUAUCUGUGCUCUGAUAUCUUUAAAUGUAGAUUACUUUUGAUUUUAUUUUUCGCUGUUGUUGUAGACGCCUUAUAUGUGCUGACAUAUGGCGGGUCUGGGCACGCUACCGGGAGGGCCUCUGCCGGUCCCGGAGCGUGACAUAGUAUGUCCAGCUUGUUGGUGGUCGUGGCACCACAAGUAGUGAGCUCCGGAGUCGUCACACAUAGGUUGAGGGUUAUCUCCCCACAGACUGCCCUAUAUGGUUGAGUGGCUGUCUUCUUGCGGGCCAAGUAUGUGAGUGGGUUCGACCUUCAGAUGAGCCGGUAAGAUUGGGUCAUGAGGUAAAAGAGAAAGUCACUUGAGCAUAGUAGAUCUUGUCUUUAAGUAUAGUAGUAUCAUAUGACAGGUGACGAGUCGAUUAUGCCUCCUCCGUAGACGGUUUGCGUUGGGUUGAACAGUCAUCUCCUCAGUAGACGAUCUAGAGAAGGGAGUUUUGCAUGACUUCGCGUGAGCCGGUAUGAUUGGGUAAAAGGUAAAAAUGGUAAACAUCUUGAGCAUAAUAGUUGCAAAGGCAUAGUUGUGUUUAUUCCAGUUAUGCAUAGUGUAGUUAUUGUACUACUUUCUUGUUUAUUUAUUUACUUAUAGCUUGAUAGACCUAGUAGAAAAAUCGGCGAGGUUGGCGGCAAAACCUACUAGGAACUUCUUUUAGUUCUCACUCCCUAUUUUGCAGAGCCAACCAUGGGCAGAGCGACAUCGGACCGAGGCGCGUGUGUUGUAUCCUAGAUAGCUGGGUCACCGCGUAUAGGUCACCCUUGUACAAGUAAAAGAAUGUAAAGGUUUAUUUGAAAUGGAAAUGUAAUUGGAAGUGUAAUUGUAUUUUGAGGAGUUUAUGUAUUAUGUAAAGUGAAAAAGUAUAUGCAAAAUGUGAAUGUUUCAAUGUUGUGAUAGUUAGGUUUACAUUCUCUCUCUUGUAAUAUGCCCUCGUGCAAAAAUGUAUUAUGUUAUUUUUUCUGUGUGAAAAUUAAUGUACUUGUUUUGCAUACGCCUUGGGCGGACAGAAAAAAUUUUGUCUGUUCGGCGGUCUAUGAACGUGCUCGAGCCGAGCAAAGUGGCGGCCUCGGGACGUGACAGUAGCAGUAGCGCCUCAAUGAGUUUUUGGCACUGGUCAUCUCCUUGAUAGCUUUUAAUCACCUCUGAAAUCCAGCUAGGGAUGGCUGUGGUUAUAGCUGAACUCUACCCUUUUUCGGUUCUCGCCUGGAUAGGGAGUCUGCAGCUUUAUUUUCCUUAUCGGCCUUGUAGUGUAUCACGUAGUCUAACCCCAUCAACUUCACCAUGCCAUUCUGUUGUAUCGCCAUUGUAAUUCUUUGUUCUAGCAAGUAUUUCAAGUUUUGAUGGUCGGUUUUGAUUAUGAACCUUCGGAGGCUAAAGUAGUGUUUCCACUUGUUCACGGCCAUCAAUAUUGCUAUGAAUUCUUUCUCGUAAGUCGACAAUCCCAAGUUUCUUUUGUUGAAGGCCUUGCUAAGGUAGGUUAUCGGCUUUCCCUCUUGCGAUAAAACGGCCCCCAUUCCCUGCUUGCAUGCAACUACUUCGAAGGUGAAGGUUUUAGUGUAGUCGGGCAAGGCUAACAUCGGAGCUCUUGUCAUCACUUCCUUCAAAUUAUCAAAUGCGGCCUGAGCCUCCGUUCUCCAUCUAAACUGAUCCUUCCUUAGCAACUCCGUCAAGAGUUUGCUCAAUUUUUCAUAAUCCUUGAUGAAUCUCCUGUAGUACCCCGUAAUGCCUAAGAACCUUCUUAAUCCCUUGAGCGAAGUAGGAACCGGCCAAUUAAUCAUGGCUUCAACGUUGUUUGGAUCUAUGGCGACCCUAGUUUCUGUUAUAACAUAUCCCAAGUAGUCGACCUUUUCCUGCUCGAACAGACAUUUGGAGCUCUUCGCAAAUAGUCAAUGCUCGCGGAGAAUACCCAGCACUUCUGUUAAGUGUUCCUCGUGCUCCCUUAAGGUUUGCUACAAAUCAGGAUGUCGUCGAAGAAUACGAGCACAAAUUUUCUGAGAUACUCAGCAAAACUCUCAUUCAUCACAUAUUGGAAGGUGGUUGGCGCGUUGGUUAGGCCAAAAGGCAUGACUAGGAACUUAUAAUGUCUGGAAUGAGUCUGAAAGGCUAUUUUUUAAACAUCUUGCGGGCUCAUCCGAAUCUGAUGGUAGCCGGCCCUCAAAUCCACCUUCGAAAAAUGAAUGGAGCCUCCCAGUUCAUCUAAUAAAUCAUCAAUUAGAGGGAUAGAGUACUUAUGUUUCACUGUGGCCUUAUUAAGUUGUCGAUUGUCGACACAACAUCUCCAAGUGCUGUCCUUCUUCUUAACCAAAAGUAUAGGAGAAGCAUAGGGGCUUGUGCUAGACAUGCCGGAAGAGGACCCAAGGAUGGGGGAUCACCCUGCCAGGUUCUCGAGCAAAAGAGAGGAAAAACAAAUGUGAGGGAGAGGGAGAGAGGUGGUGGCUGUGGCGGCGACUUGCCAGCCAGGGCUUGAUCGGCGGUGGCCGGGAGGCGCGCGGCGCUCGAGGGUGAGGGAGGAGAGGCAGCUAGGGGUCAGCUGGAGCUAGGGUUAGGGUUUGCACCAUGUAAAUCCUAGGUGGCCUUUUAUACAUGAAUGUAUAAUUGCAUAUAAGUACAUCGAAACUCAGUAUUUUUAGUUGAGUCCCUCACAGCGCGAGUAAAACGCGCGGACACACCCCCAUAUUCGAUUUCACACGAAUCCGUACAUAAAAUGUAGGACUUUCCGCAAAAUUUUUGUUUCGCCACUUAUGACCCCUACUCGAUCCCCGCACGAUAUCAGGAGAUCCGUUCGUCAGAUUUACGAACGGACUGGACCAGCGCGUUCGGCACGACUGAGACAUUAAACUCACAAUUUUGUUUCGCCUGGUUUGGUCGCAGAUUCGUGACGAAACCCAACCUCUCUCCGAUUCAACAAAACCACACACAAAUAAAUAAUAUAUAUAUCCAAUAAUUGCCUCCAAGACCUUCCAAUUAGCGAAAACGGGGACAAAGCCCCUCCCAACUAGUCCUCUCUCAAAGAAAGGUCCCCGCCCGAGGAUCCACACACAAAACGGCGCAACGAGAAGUUUUAAAAAGCAAAAACGAUAAAGAACAAAAGUCCACUUUGCGAUAAAAUCUAGUUUUUUCGAAAACCAUGCGUCAAACCCAAAAUCCAUCAGCGCCAAUGGGUUCGGGGCAGUCAGACCGUUGAAAAUGAGAUAUUGGAUCACCAUGAACGGAGUCCAAUACGUGCCAGAAGCCAUCUCUACUCAUUGGCCUCUCCGAAACCCAGGUUACUAUUCACUUUAAGUGAAAAGUAAAGAUCGCGUAACAUCUCCAUUCUAAUUCGUUUUUUUCCAAAACUUGACGAGUGCUUUUGUAAUUAAAAUACACACAAAAAUAUCAUCAACAGAGAGUUUAGUUACACAACAAAAUUCUCAGUCCUCACAAAGAUUUUGAGAGAUAGUUUUGAUUAAGGGAGUGGAAAGUGUUGAACAACGAGGAGGGGUUUUUGUGAUAGUGGAUUUUGAGUAAUUUACUUUGGAAUGGGCUAAUUCGGAAUUCAAAACCGGAUUAGCCAUUUCCAUUCCAUAAUGGAAUAGGAAUCAAAAUUCGAUUUCUAUAAAACAAACAACCAACUAUCGGAAUCAGUAAAUUUUAUUCUGAUUUCAUAGUUUAAAAUAGAUGAACCAAACAUAUCCUAAAAAGGGAUAUAACUUAAAAAAGUUAGUAAAGAAAAGAAGCAACUAGGUAGAUAUAUGUUGGAAAAUAAGUAUACAAACACAAUUUCAGAUGCAACAGUUCUCUCUUAAAUUACAUAUAUUUUUUUAUUAUAUCUUAUAAUAUUUAUAAAAGAUUUUUUAUAUAUCAUAUAUAAAAAUAUUUAAUAUUAAAAAUAACAUUUAAAAAUUCAUUUAUAUUACAUAUUUAAAUAUAACUAAAUUUUAUCUAAUUUUAUUAAUAAUGUACGUAAACGUACAUGUGAGUUGAUCAUACUAGAUUGCCCACCUUUACCAGUUUCUUCAUCUAGAUUGCCGGCUUUUGAAUACUCAUGUUUAUCUGUACAUGAGUAUUCUUAUAUCAUCUGCCUGAGAUAUAUACAUAUAUAUAUAUAUCUCUCUCUCUCUCUCUCUCUCUCUCUCUCUCUCUCUCUCUCUCUCGCGAUCCGACCAUAUGAUAGCCAUCGUGCCUCCGGAGGUAAAAUGGUUCAACAAAAGUUACUACGGCGAAGGUUUAGCUGUUAGCCGAGGCAAUCUAAACUAGAUGUGAUAAUUUUUAUAAACUUUUGAUUUAAAGUAUUAAAAAGUUGUAGUAAAGCGAUCACUAGUUUUCCAGAGUUUUAACUGUUAAAAUUACCAUCUACACUACGUAAACAUUUAAAUUGCCACAUUUUGUUAGGUUUAGUCUACUUUAAACAUAUCUUUCAAGAAAAAUGAUAAAUCUCAUUCUAGUCAUGGAGACUAGAAUUUAAGUUCAGAAGAUAGUAGUACAAAAUACUAUAAAAAUAAAAGUCAGCAAGUAAAAAUCUGAUGAGCAAACUAUCCAUUUACUAUAACUUUUUAAUACUUUAAAUCAAAGGUUUAUGAAAGUUAUCACAUAUAGUUCAGAUUGACUUGGCUAGCAGCUAAACCAUCACCGUAGUAACUUUUGUUGAACCAUCGUGCCUCCGGAGGCACGAUGGCCAUCAUAUGGUCGGAUCGAGAGAGAGAGAGAGAGAGAGAGAGAGAGAGAGAGAGAGAGAGAGAUAUAUAUAUAUAUAUAUAUAUAUAUAUAUAUAUCUCUCUCUCUCUCUCUCUCUCUCUCUCUCUCUCUCUAUAUAUAUAUAUAUAUAUAUAAACUNUCUCUCUCUCUCUCUCUCUCUCUCUCUCUCUCUCUCUAUAUAUAUAUAUAUAUAUAUAUAUAUAUAUAUAUAGGCUGGAAUACUAUCAAUAGCACCAAGCUAUUGGUGCCAUUAGUUAUUUAGCCCUUGGAUUGAGAAAUGUGCGGUUAGGAUGAACUGAGCCCUUUAGGGUUGAGUGGGUUCUUGGUUGAAUAGUAUAAUCUAACGGGUAAAAAUAAUCAAAGAGUUAAAUCUAACAGUGGAAAACUCGAUAGCAUCAAGCCCUUGGUGCUAUCGAAAUCCCAACUGAACUCUAUAACUCACUCUCUCUCUCUCUCUCUCUCUCUAUCUAUCUAUCUAUCUAUCUAUCUAUAUAUAUAUAUAUAUAUAUAUAUAUAUAUANNNNNNNNNNNNNNNNNNNNNNNNNUAUAUAUAUAUAUAUAGAGUAAGUCUCCUGUACUUUCGAAAGUACGGAGACCUCCGUGCUUGUAAGUUGUUUUCGAUGAUAGGAAAUCCGAUUCGAUGAUCGGCUCCGUUAAAUAUAAUCUACCGUAUUGGAACUACUUAGAAACCAAAUUUUAUAAUUUUUGACAUCAUUUACCAAGCGAUCAAAAGGUCUCAAAAUGACUAUUUUAAAGGCUGAUGUGGCACGUUUUUAAGUUCAACGGUGUAGAAGUAUCCAAAUUAGAUGAAAAUUUAAUAGAAAAUUAUACUUAACAUCAAUAGCAAGACUAAUACUUUUGAUUUGAAAUUUGAGUCAUUUAUCACUGUUUUUUAUGAGGUUUUUAUUUUCAGCCAUUCAUUUUGAGGCUACUCAUUUACUAGACAAACAAAAUAAAAAAAUUAUGAAAUUUGGUUUCUAGGUAGUUCCAAUAGUGUAGAUCAUGUCUAACGGAACCGAUCACCGAAUUGGAUGUCCUAUUAUUGAAAACAAUUUACAAGUACAGAGGCUUCCGUACUUUCGAAGGCAUAGAAGCCUAGCUCUCUCUCUCUCUCUCUCUCUCUCUCUCUUUAUAUAUAUAUAUAUAUAUAUAUAUAUAUAUAUAUAUAUAUAUAUAUAAAGUUAGGCUGGAAUACUAUUGAUAUCAAAAGGUUCUUUUUGCUAUUAAACUUUUAACCCUUGGAUGAGAAAUUGUAGGGUAAGGAUGAUAUUAGCCCUUUAGGGUUGAGUGGUCCCUCUAGGUUGUAGUGUACCGAAUCCUCGGUGCGCCAAACUGAACUUUAGUCAAAUUGACCAAAGUGUGGUAAUGGACGCUUUGGAGAGGUCCGUUGAAUGUUCCGAAUGAUCAGAAUGGUUUAUAUGGGUACAAAGGACCUUGGAGAGCAAGAUAUGAAAUUUUCAAAAUUUUGUGCUGGAAAUGCUCUUGGGGUCCGGACCCUGGCUAUAGGGUCCGGACCCCGUACGCGUGAAAGGUCGGGGUUGAGCAAAGUGUCAUUUGCGUGAGGGGCUAAGUGCAUUUGUCGAUAUACAAAGGUGCUAGGCACAACAUAAGGUAUAUGCAGGAUAAUAACAGGAAAAAAAGGUAAGAAGAUGUCACCGAGCGUGCACCACUGUACCGAUUUCGGGUCGAAGUACCUACCUGUACGUGCGUAGGUCUAGUCUCCUGACUGUGGAAGAAUAUCAGCCGGACCUACAAACGGUCCAUCAGGUUAGAAUUCAACCUACAAAUACAAACCACUAACUCACAAUCCCCACAUGUAAACCCACGGGAAUCGAUUUUCUAAAACCGAUUGCCAUAACACGCUGGAAGUCCCGAAAAUCGCACCGGGACUCCGCCAGGACCCACGAACUGUCCCGGAACUCACCGACUCGUGUCACAAGUCACCCGCUGCCACCAAACACAAUUAUUUGUGUGACCAAGCAGCAAACACACAUCCUCACAUCGAAACGAUUAUCGUCGGAUAAUCGUUCUGAUCCGGUUUCCCGGAAGUGUCAAUUUCGACACUGGAACCCACCGUCGCUCACCUGUCGUUUCUGGACCCUCGAAAUGACGCGAGUGACCAGCCAACAAGGCUCAGCGACUAUAUAAUUUUUUGUGAGGCACCGUCGGAAGAAUUCUGAACCGAAAUCGCGUUCCAUCGGCGAAUUUCGUCGAAAAACGCACUGAAAAUCAACAUUCGAUUUUCGAAAAGGCCUGGGGCCUUGGACAACUAGUUCAGAGGUCACCCGCUGCCCGCACAUGCUGCCAACAGCGACCACGAAAUAUAAAAUUACAUAAAAAUCCCUGCGACUACAUAAAAUCACAUCAUUUUAUGUGAUUUUCGGGGUUUUACGGCCCGAUAGCGGAAACCAAGGACUUUGGAGUCUAGCCGAGACACCCGCUGACAUGUCUCGGCGUGUCAGAGGCCGUGCUCACACUUUGGAGCAUGGUCGGCCACUGUGGAGGGCGUGGGUGCGACACAGAAUUCAGUGAAUACCGCGCACAGCAUGAAAAACAUGCUUAUCUCGCAAACCAGGGGCUCGUGGAUCCCAACGAAGGUGAUCACGAUGAUCAGCACUGAUCUAGGAUCAUCGUGCUUACCUUCGAAAGCCUCGGGGUGGCCCCAGGUCACCAGAAACCCGAACCUGAGACAGUGCGCAGAAACCAUUAACUUAAGCUUACCGGAGCUAGGUGGAGCACGGGCGGCCCGCGGCGGCCGGAUGGAGGGCGCGCCGACAGGGAUGGGUGCGGCUGGUCAGUGCGGGACAGGGCUCGCGUCGGCAGGUGACGGGAGGCGGCGGUGACGGCGGGCAACGAUGCCCUAGCCGCACGAGAUCAAGGGAGGCUUCCGGCCGGCAAGGGCUCCGGCGGCGGAGGCGCAAGCGGCAGCCGAGUGCGCCCGACCCAGGGGAGGCGGCGCGCGGGUCGUCCGGUGACGGAAGGUAGCGGCGGUGGCUCUAGAGCAACUCAAGCCCGCGCGUGCUCGGCUCGGGUUCAGCCGGUCACAGCGGCCAACGCGGUAACCGAGGAGCUACGGGGCGACGACGGUGGUUCGCGAGAGGCCGGAGGGAGGCGGCCCAGGUGGUGCCGAGCGGUGGUAGCAGCGGCGGAGCACCCUGAACCCGCACCUCAAAAACUUGGCUCGGGUUCAGCCAUGCCGGCCUCGGCGGCAGCUAGGCCGCCUCGGGGCGGCGGCGACGGGACAUCAAGGGUCGCCGGAGGCCAAGGGAGGGCGGCGCGGCCAGUCCCAAGCGGCGACGGCGCGAGGAGAGGGAGAUCUCGCAGCCUCGGCCAGAUUUGCCCAGAUCUGGCCGCAACUUGCCAAGGCGGCGGCGCUUGGGGGAAGCGGCGACCGACGGAGAAGGUUUGCCGGGGUUGGGUCCUGCUAUCAGAGGUGGAGCCCGUGGGUGUGGGGCCUCCUUGGCAGCAGUACAAGCAGAAAUGAAGGAAGAUGGUGCUGGAAACAAUAGAGGAGAGGAACGAUGACUGCUUUCCGGCGGCCGGCGACGUGCGCAAGCGGCCGGGGCGCGCGCGGCUAGGGCAGGGGGAGGUUCAGAGGGUCGCAGGGAGGUUGGCUGAGGGAGGAGGUCAACAAGGUUAGGGUUUCCUCUAUGAAACCCUAAAUGACACUAUAUAUACAAGUCACCAAUUUGUCGAUAAGUCCUCCGAAACUCAGUAUUUUCAUUUGAGUCCCUCACAGCGCAUGUAAAAUGCACGUACGAAUCUCCAUGUCUGAUCUCACGCGAUUCGGUAUAUAAAAUAUAGGGGGUUUCGCACGAGAUAUAAAAAUGUCAUUUUGACCUCUCCUCCAUAAUCACACGAUAUCCGGCGAUCCGUCCAUCGAAUUUGCGAACAGAUCGCACUAAUGCGAUCAGCACGACAGGGGCAGCAACUCAUGAUUUUGUUUCGUUUGGUUUGGUUGCAGAUUCAUGCCGAAACCCAUCCUCUCACCAAUAGGCAAAACCCGUACACAAAUACGUAGAAAACAUGUAUCUUCAGUUUUCUCGAAAGCCGUGUGUUAGAUCUGAAAUCCGUCAGUGCCAUUGGGUUCAGGACAGUCGAACUAUCAAAAACGAGCUAUUGGAUCACUAUGAACGAAGUCCAAUACGCACCAGAAGCCAUCUCCAUUAAUUGGCCUCUCCAGAAAAUCGGAGUUACUAUUCACUUUAAGUGAUUAGUACAGGUCGCGUAACUUUUCCAUCCUAACUCGUUUUCUCCUGAAACUUGACGAGUGUUUAUGUAAUUAAAUUAUACACAAAAAUAUCGCAACACAGAGUUUAGCUACACAGUCAAAUUCUCAGUCCUUACAUAUACAUAUAUACAUACAUACAUACAUACAUACAUACAUACAUACAUACAUACAUAUAUAUAUAUACAUAUAUAUAUAUAUAUAUACAUAUAUAUAUAUAUAUAUACAUAUAUAUAUAUAUAUAUACAUAUAUAUAUACACAUAUAUAUAUAUAUAGAGUGACGCUAGAAUACUCUCGAUUAGUAAACGAGCCCGUUUACUAUCGAUUGUUUUCGAUAUAGCAGCUUCCAAUUGACAAUCGGCUCCGUUGAACAUUGGAUUUAUACCACUUGAGUGUUAGAAAUCAAAUUUCAAAUCUUUUUCGACAUCAUUUGCUAAUGAUCAAAGGGUUCAAAAUUGUAAUUUUAAUGGUGGAUCAAGAGACUUUUCCGUUAACGCUUUAAGACUACCAAAUCAAUUGAAUAGUUGUUAGAAAAUUUUUAGACUAUUUAAAGACAAGAUCUAUACUCUUGAUCUUAGAUUACAGACUCCUAUCAUCAUUUUUUUAAGAGAAUUAUUCAUUUCAGCCAUUCAUUUUUCUGUUCACUAGAUGGAUAAAAAACGUAAUAUCGAAAGUCGCGUGAAAAUUUGUAUUUCUAGGUAGUUUAAAUAUUUAGAUCAUAUUAACGGCCUAUCGUCAAUUGGAGCUUAUCAUCGGAAAACAACUCGAUAGUAAAGUGUUCGUUUAUCUAAUCGCCAGCGAGUAUUCUAGCUCAACUUCUAAUAGUACUAAUAUUAACAUAAUAUAUAUAUAUAUAUAUAUAUUUAUAUAAUACAUAUAUAUACAUACAUAUACAUAUAGUAUAUAUAUAUAUAUUAACAUAUAUAUAUAUACAUAUAUUAUAUAUAUAUAUUAUAUACACACAUAUAUAUAUAUAUACACAUAUUAUAUAUAUAUAUAUAUACACAUAUAUAUAUAUAUACAACUAAGCUGGAAUACUAUUAAUAGCACUUGUGACUUGGUGCUAUUAAGUUUUCUGCCCUUAGAUUAAAAGAUGUGCGGUUAGGAUGAUGUGGGCCCUCUGGAGUUGAGUGGGUAGUUGGUUGAAUAGUAUAAUUGAACGGAUGAAAAUGAUAAAAGAGGUAAGUCUAACGGCAAAAAAAUUGAUAGCACCAAAUGCUUCGUGCUAUCGAUAGUAUCCCAGCCGGACUCUAUAUAUACAUACAUACAUACAUACAUACAUACAUACAUAGAGUCCGGCUACUAUACUCUUAUGAGUACGAUCGCAUUCAUACUCAUAAGUUGUUUUCAGUAAUAGAGCUUCCAAAUCGACGAUCCAGACCGUUAAACAUUAUCUAGAUCAUUUAAAACUUCUAGAAAUCAAAUUUCGUAAUUUUUCGAUAUCAUUACCUUACGAUCAAAAGCUCACAAAAUUGGCAAUUUUUAAAGGUCGGUACGUGAUACUUGCUAGUUUAACGGUGUAAAAGAAUGGGAAUAGAUAGAAUUUUUGAUAGAAAAUUCUAUUCAUUACCUAGAUAAAGAUCAAAAACCUAGAUCUUAAAUUGAAGGAUCCGAUCAUCCAUUUUUAAGACAUCGUUCAGUUUUGACCGUUUAUUUUAUAUCCGCUUGAUGGACUUUAUAAUGAUUUCGAAAAAUUACAAAAUUUUAUUUUCUAGAAGUUUCAAAUAACGUAUAUAAAAGAACACACACACAAAGAAAGCACACGAUAAAAACUUCAUAAAAGACGGAGACGCAAAUCAAUAGGAGACAUCUACUUACACCCUACGUCGACCCAAAACAACAUCAGACACCCAAAAGAAAUAAAUGUGUCCAUGCCAUUCCGCCAAGCUGGUAAAUAACCCCCUGCAACCUCGCACACCCCGAAAAUAAACACAAAGCAACAAUAAGACAACCAUAAGCCAACUACUGGGGAGUUUCCGGCUACCGGAUGCGAGAUCCUGGAAAAUACGAUAAAGGUUGAGCCAACAAAUAAAUUAAACUCUCAGGAGCCCUCCCAAUAUCUUACAGCAGAAAAUCGCAAAAAAGCUACAACACUAAGGAUAAGAGCAGGACCCCGCCCACUUCUCCGGACAGACCAAUCAAUACACAAAAACCUUCAAAACAAAAAAAGAAAACCCAACCACAAAUUCAGGAAAACAAAAACAAAACACAAUAAUAACAAGGAAAUACCUCGCCGGCCACCACCAGAAGCAUCAGCACCCCCGCUACUAGUAACCUUCUCCCUGUGGCUUCAACGUAAACCGCCCACGCUCAUAAUUCCUAAAGUCAGACAAGGCCCGCCACGAGGCUAAACCAUAUGACAUGCUCUCUAGGCUGACUGUCCUGAAAGGCAGACUGCGUGCAUUGAAGUCAAAAAUCAGUAGUGUCAUGCUGAGCUCCCGAUUGGACGAGACAGAAAAAAAAAACAUAGAUAAGAAACUCAUAGCUCCAAUCCGACAGCGCCCACGCAAUUAAACAACAGCCCUUACCAAGCCGUAAGAGAAUAAAACCUCGCUCCGACCACUAGCCCAGCGACGUGAAAUCAAUUAUCAAGGCCACAACCUAACCCAGUAAUGCAUGAUUGCUUCUAUGUCCGCAUCGCCGGCCCGGCUAAAAAAAAAAGCGUGGGCAUCCCAACAAGAGAGCUCCGGCGUGCCUGGUUGAAACCACACCGGUGGUUUGGCCGCAGCCGUUGGCUCCCUGUACGACCCGGAUCUCUCAUGUUGCCGGUUCUGGGCCGGAAGCCUCAGCGUCCGUUAGAGGGUGUGUGGUGUUCUUUGGGUCUCUGGUAUUAACUCACGGUGCCUUCAAGGCACUCGUCCGCCCGUGGCAAGUAACGACGCUGGGCCAUUUUACUGGCGAAGAUGAGAACCGCCUUACCGCUCCCCUGCUGAUCGCGAGCCACGAGACCCUCUGACCUGCCGUACCUGGCCCCUGGCCGGCUCUUCCCGCCGCUCCCGGCCGAGCCGCGCCACGCGUUACCUCCCGACGCCGUGCCUAGCUCCGUAAGCUAGCAUGGCUUUAUUUGUGCACUGCUUUGGGGUUGUAGUACACUUUCGCAACCCGAGGGCUUGUUCCGAUGCCUUCCGGCGAAGUGAGCACGGUGAUCUCAUCAGUGCUCGAUCACAGUGCUCACCUCAUCGGGGUCACACGAGUGUCGAUUGUGUCAUUUUGAAGUGUUUUAGUUCAGCGCAUGGCAGUUUUUGCUGAAGUUUCGCGUCGCCUUGUGGCGCGUCGGCCACUGCGCCGCCAACAGCUCGGCGAACAGGUGACACGGCCUUCGUCACGCCGAGACCUGCCACAGAUGUCUCGGUUUGGCUAUGAUUUCGCUAAAGUUUUGUAGACGGACACCAUAAAGCGGCCCAAAUCGCAUGAAAUAAUCAUUAUCGGCGUAAUCCGGGAGGCUUUUAUGGAUUAUGGUUUUGCGGCGCUGUUGCAGGCAUGGUGACGAGGUAACCAUUUGGACUGAUUGUCCAAGGCCCCGACCCUUGCGACAGAUCGAAAAGUAUUUUCGUGGCGUUUGUGCCGGCAAAGAUCCGCCGACGAGACCGGUUUGGUUCGGAGAUUAUUCCGACUGUGCUCCGUGAGCUUUUGUGUAGUCGCUGAGAAACUGUGGCUGGUCCACCAUCGCGUCAUUUCGAGAUUUCAGAAAUACGAGUGAGGCGACGGUGGGGUUCGGCGGUGUCCGAAAUUGACAUUCUCAGAACCCGGAUCCCACAAUUAUCCACCAAUAGUUUUUGUUGUGUAUCUUGUGUUGUGCUGGCCAUGUCACACUAAAAUAAGUGUUAGAGGGCAGCAAUACUUCGUGGCAUGAAGUCGUGCCUCUCCCGAUAGUUAGUGGGUGCCCGGACGGAGUCCCCGUGGCGAUUUCGUGAACUUCCGCGAGUCUGGUAAUCCGUAUUGGAAACUGAUUCUGUGAGAUGUUUGGGUAUGCUUGGCUAGGGUUUCUUAACUGUGGUUAAGACACUAACCCAGGACCUCCUUAGGAUCCGUUGACAUUCUUUUGCAGUCAGGGAGACAGGCGCGGACAGUGUAUCAGGUGGGGUACUCGAUCCAACGUUGUGUACAUGUGGUGCAGCCGCUCCGUGAUGUUCUUACCCUUGGCUCUUUUUUUAAUUAUCCAUCGCUAUAUUAUUAUGUUGAGCUUUGCACCUCUAUUGAUUACAUUACACCAAACGUUGUUUUGAUUUAUAUCUCUACUCAAAGACGUUCUCCCCAUGCUUAGUAUCACGUGUAGGAUAAUGUCUAUCUUUUAUGAUACCAUGUUUCCUUUUGGCUCUACUUAGUAUUUCUUCAACCCUGUUUCAUGUUUACUAGUAAAGCGAGUUGCGUGAUUAUCUAUGAGCAUCAAGCGAUCUUACGUCGGUGAUUCCUACUAUUCACUAUUUGUGCACUGUAUUCGUGAAGUUCCUCGACACUUUCUUGUCUGAUCCCGUUAAGGUCGGUAAACCCUGCAGGUGGGCAUGUCGGUAUUGCCGACGGAUGACUUAUACUUUUACUCAUAUUCUAUACUUGUGACAUGGAUUGGUCGACUUCAUAGUUCUCUACCUUGUGACAUGAAUUGGUCGAGUUUCAUAUUUAUACUUGUGACCUGAUUGGUGAGUUUCAUAUCCUAGUUGAUCUUACGGGGUCCUCCUUGAGGUUCCAUUGACCAUAUUGCAUAUGUUUGAAGAUAUCGAUGUUGUUCCAUUCCUUAGUUGAAUGAGUGGUCCGGUUCUUUGCUUGCCUUACAGUUGACGACCUAUGCGGUCUGAUGGCACCCUGGGGCAGGAUUGGUCGCUGUUGACGACGGUUGAGCAUAUGAGCAUCACUUGCACUGAUCGCCCCCGAUACUCGUCGCAUUUCACCGAACACUGUGCGAUCUAUCCAGCACGCAAGAAGUGUUCUUUCCGGAAAGUGGUUGAAUGGUACUAACCGUGAAGCCUAUGAGGUUAUAUCACUGAAGAUAGUAGUGCCUGGCUUGAGUCCUGCGUGCUCGACCAAUGAGAGCAUUGGUUUCAGAUUGGGUUACUUUUGGACUUCUUUGGACCGUUGACGCUAUAGUUCCUAAUAGUACAGUCGUCGCAUCGAUAGCUUAAGAUCUUACCUACUAGUUAUCUUCUACUAUAGUAGAUAUCCAUGGUAUCUUUCUGUUCUAUGGUUACAGUAGCGUAGCCGUUUAUCAGCCUAUAGUUCUCACUCUCCUUCAGUUUAUCCUAUUGUUGAUCUUGCUCAUUACCGCUUGUUCAUUUCUCACUGACCCCAAUGUUGUUGUAUAUUCCUUUCCUGAUCGCGGUGAGUGUACGUCUCGCUUUUUCGACUUGCGGUACCGCACUGUGAGGGGAGCAGCAUGUUUUACAUUUCUCACCUCUCUCGCCACAAUUUUUUUCAGGUAUCGGGGCGUUGAGUAGUGGGGCGGAGAGCCAUGAGGUACGAUGGUGUAGCCGGUCGGGAUAGGAGCUGUCCGACCCAGGUUAUUCCGAUUGCUAUUACCACUUUUUAUUACUGUGGAUAUAUAUAUCGCUUAUCGGUUUAAAACAUGGUUUCAGUUUCUGUUUUAUUAUUUGAAUACUGAUUUUCAAGUUUGUUUUGAAAUGUAAUAAAGGAAUUGUGUUUUCUUGAAAUAGAAAAAGUUUCUACCGCCUCGUGGGUAGUGCAGGUUUCUUAAAGAAUAAAGGUUUCCGGUGUAUGAACAGUUUCAAAGAAUUUUCGUGAAUUUCUAUUUAAACAUUGAAGAUAAAACUUUGUGAUGUGAAUGGUGAAUGUAUGAAUGUAUAGUUUCAUCUUAUACUUCAUUUGGUUGUGGUUGUUUUCUCGCUAUAUCUGUACUUUGUGUUGCACGCCGGGUGCAAAAUACAGGGAACUCUGUCCGUGUGAACAGUGGAUUCGCCUAUAAUUUUGUGCGGAUUUGCAUACGCUUGGGGUCAGGUUGCACAAAAAAAAAAAAAAAAAAGAAAUUUCCGCUGGUUUUUAAACCUAAAGGACCCGGGCGUGACAUUGAUAUUUCUAAGACCGUUAAAACUUGCAACGGCUCAACUACACACCUUAAAAUUAUGAUUUUGAAGCCCUUCCGAAUUCACUGAGGGCGAAAUGUAUCGAAAAAUCAUUAACAUUUAUUUGCUAAAAUACUUCAAUACUUCUAUAUCAGUUUAACUGCCGUCGAGCCAUGUCGAGCUGGAGAGGGGUGCAACAUCGAAAACAGCCUGAAAGAGGAAGGCUCCGGCUUCCAAACAUAGUAGCCUUAACUUCCUAAUAUACACAACACCACAUCAACACACACAAACACACACACACACACACAUGCACAGGCUAACAGACACACACACCACAAUCACACACAAUCACAUACAUACAUACAUACAAUACAUAACUAUCAUAUAUGAUAUAUAAAUAUAUAUAUUAUAAUAUAUAUAAUAUAUACUAUAUUGCUUCCAAUGCGACGAUCCACACCGUUAAAUAUGAUCUACAGNNNNNNNNNNNNNNNNNNNNNNNNNNNNNNNNNNNNNNNNNNNNNNNNNNNNNNNNNNNNNNNNNNNNNNNNNNNNNNNNNNNNNNNNNNNNNNNNNNNNAAAAAAGAGAGGUUUCAUAAAUAUAUAUCUCGUUCGUCAUUAUCUCGUCUGCUACUGUAUUUUACUUACCUCAUACUGUUUGGUUAGUCCUUCCUAUCCGGUGAGUACUCCUCUAUGCCUUCUUCGGCUUGCGUAGCCCACUGGAGGGAAACAUGUUUACAUGUUCUCACCUCCCCCACCAUUUGUAAAGUAUCGGCGGGCGAUGAGUAGUGGACGUAACUUGAGGUACGGUUGUAAGCCGGUCGAUAGAGCUUUCCGAACCUCCGAGGUUAAUUUCGAUUUAGGUUAUCGCUCUGGUAAUUUUCUCUGUCUGAUAUAGUAUUGUUUAGUUGGUUUUGUGUUUCAGUAAUUAAUUUACAUUAUUCGAAAUGUAGAUUUCUGAUUUUUGUAAAAUAAAAAGUUUUCUAACCUCUCGUCGUAGCGUUUUUAAAAAGAAUAAAGAUUUCUGUGCUAAGGAAACAGCUUUAAAAGAGAUUUUUUGUUUGGAUUCUGUUAUACCUUGAAUGUAUAAUCUUGAUUGAAUGGUUGAAGUGUAUGAAUGUAUAGUUAUUUUAUAUUCAUCUGUUGUGGUGUUAUCUCUGUUGUAACUUGUUUGAUCGACGCCGUGCAAAUACAGGGGAGACUCUGUCCGUGUGAACAGUGGAUUCCCUGUAUUUGUGGCGGAUCUGGCAUACUCUGGGGUCAGGAUUUCAAAAAAAAAAAAAAAAAAUUCAGACGCUUUUCCGCUUUGUUUUAAACUGAAAAGGGACCCCGGGGCGUGACAGUCGCGGGGCGUGACAAUUGCUUACCCUCGUGUAAGCCAUUGUAUAUGUUUUCGCUAGUGCUUUUCUUAACUUGAAAUUGUACAGGUGAUGAGCCUUGGGCGGACAGGGGAAACUCUGUCCGUUCGGCGUCUGUUCGACGUGCCCAGACCGGCCCAAAUUGGUAUCGGUCCCAGGGCGUGACAUCGAUGUCAACCUUUCCUUUAAUUCCUUGAAACUCCGAUCGCAAUCGUCGCUCCAAACAUAUUUCACUCCUUUGUGUGUAAGGCGCGUUAGUGGAGUAGUUAUUUUAGCAAAUCCCUCCACGAACCGCCGGUAGUAUCUCGCAAGUCCAAGAAAACUACGAAUUUCCGCUACACUUGUCGGGCAAGGCCAAUCUUUAAUUGCCUCAACUUUCUUUGGAUCUACCGAGAUACCAUCACCCGAUAUAACAUGGCCUAAGAAGGUGACCUCCGAAAUCCAAAAUUCGCACUUCUUUAGCUUAGCAUAAAGCUUCUCUUUUCGGAGUAUUUCCAACACGGUCCUCAAAUGUUCCUCGUGUUCCUCCUCACUCCGAGAAUAAACCAACACAUCGUCAAUGAAUACCACGACGCAUCGAUCCAACAACGAUCGAAAGACUCGAUUCAUCAAGUCCAUAAAUGCUGCAGGGGCAUUAGUAAGCCCAAACGACAUUACCGUGAACUCAUAAUGGCCAUACCGCAUACGAUACGCCGUUUUGUGCACAUCCUUCGGCCGGAUCUUCAACUGAUGAUACCCAGACUGAAGAUCUAUCUUCGAAUACACCUUCGACCCUUACAACUGAUCGAAUAAAUCAUCAAUCCUCGGCAACGGGUACUUUUCUUGAUUGUCACUGUCACGCCCCGCCCCGAAAACACUACCAAUUUGGCACGAUUCGGCCGCGGGUGUACCUCCCCUGCCCGCGCAAGCUCAACCCAAGGAAUGUGUACAAGAAUUUACCCAGGAUUUAAAUUCUAACAUACACAUUCAACGAGUGGCACAACAGUGCAACAACAAAGAAGAGCCAAGUAAUUCCACAAGAUAUACGACGUGAAAUAGAGAUAUUUAUAACUUUACAAAGUUACAUUCUUUCCUUUACAUCAUUUUGCAAAAUGAUAUAACAUUGAAUCCUUCAAAAUACAUAGUCUCCAACUCAACCUACAUGAAUCUCUUUCAUACAUAGGUGUACUAUGUAAAAGCGGAAGUACUACUACCACGCCUCACUGAUGCGGCGCGAUUGCCUGCGCGGUCCUCUCUAGCAGGCCUGAAUUUACCCACUGGAAAUAGAGUGGGUGAGAACUUAUCUUCCAGAGUUCCUAGUGGCCUCGGCCGCGACUCUGCGAUCUCGCCACAUAGGUCCAAGUGGAAAGUAACAACAGAUAGGAAUUAGUAGAUAGAUAGUAUAUGUAUCUUGAAAGCUGUAAAUAGUAGUUAGGAAAACUAUGCUACUUGCCCAUAUCGUGAAUAUGAAUGCAGCAUAAUAAUAAAGGUAUUGUAGUAUUGCUAAACAAAAUUCAUCCAUGUUGAAUUAGUGUAUUCAAUGAUAUUUUAACCUUUAACCUGUUUAUAUUACCCAAUUCUGUGGCGAGGCCUAGGGCUCGCAUGACUCACCUUUUCAAAUCCCAUAUUGGGAGGGAGCUCAAUUGCACCCAAAGCCGGACCGUCUUCGACCUCAUGUGGUCCGGACGCCAGUGGUCCUAGUCGGCUACACUCCGGCAGUACUAGACGACAAUCCCCUCCAUUGUGGGGAUUGGAUGGUCUUAUACCAUCCUAAACGCAGACUGUGAGCUAGAUAUAUCCUCUCAAGGGAUACGACUGUAACUAGCGGUCAAACCAAUCCAAUCCUCUCCAAGUGAGGACUCUACAAUAGAGUCAAUGAUUGUCGCUGGAAUCAUGGUUUCGGCAUUCAUGCAAUGUUAUUUAGUUUUCUAAAUCAAUGUGUUCACAAGAAUUUUCUAAGGGAUCCACCUAUCCUAGGUCCAUCGACCUUCUAGUGUUAUUACACUAUCAUUAUGCCACUCGUUAUCAUUAAUUAUUUUGGAUGCCACUCGUUGUGUUUCUUUAAACAUAAACUAUUUUCUGUCGAUCAAUACGCCUCUUUUAUCUUUUCUUUCGCACCAUAGGAUUCACGCUCUCGACCAAUUCCUCAACCUAUCUAGAGUUACAAGGCGUUCAAUACACUAGCCUGUUAUCAAUUUAGAAAGCAUAAGAAUGCAGCUACUAUGCAUCUCACAAUGCCAACAUGUAAGAAUGAGAUUAAAUGCAAUCUAAACAUAGAAGUCGAGUUUCGAAAUUUCGGAUGCACACCCCUACUUUUAAUCGACUGUAAAGGCUUGGAAAAUCCUUCUCGCCGCGAGCUGCUAUGAAAUGCUUGGCCUUCUUUCGCGCGAGAUCAACACUAGCGCUCGAUUUGUGCCCGAGAAUUCACGUCGGUUCGCCGAAUGCCAAAAUCGACUUAGCCCCGCGUUUUUGGGACUAUCGAAUAGGGUUUCCAGCUUCAAAUGGAUCAUCUCAUACUUCCCACACUACAAUACCCCCCCUUUACAAAACCCCAUUUUGGAGCCCUAGAUUUGCACAUAGCAAAACACCAAUAAAUCCCUAAAUUUUUGAAUUCAUCUAUUUAGAAGCUAGCUUGGGUUAUUUGACCAUCCAAGCCAUAACCAAAAACCAGAGUUUUAUUAGCUAGGGUUUAGUAGAUGUACCUAAGAGUAAUUCCAAUAGGACAGAGGAGAGGGAGAUGGAGGUGCUCAAAGCCUUCCUCUUAUCUCCUUCUUCUUCUCCUUCCUUAUCUUCCUUUCUCUUAUCCUCUCCUUCUUGUUUUUUCUAUUCUUUCCUUUCUAAGAGACGAGAGAAGAGAGAGAGAAAUGAGAGUGAGAGAGAAAGUGUGAGGGAGAGAGAGGCUCAGUUCCCACUCAAAUUAAGGCAUUUUGCACAAAAGUCAACCACUUUCAAUCGUGCAUGCCCUGUGACUGCGACGCUAUUUAGUCGCGGUGGCGAGGGUACGGUCCCGGAUUGGGACCGUCCGCGAGAGCUGUCCCUGCGGGCGGCACGGCGGUUCGGGACGGAUGCUUCCCGGCGAGACCGGUCCUUCGGUGAGACCGUCCUCACCUGGUAGACCGGUCCCGAAGCUGAUUUUCAGGACUUAGCCAAUUUCGCGGAUCUUCGCUGGGACCACGUUCGGGAACCGGUCCCUCCCUACCAGGGACCGGUUGCAUCACGCAACCCCGCUACAUCCAGCCAGGGGAACCGGUCUCUCACCCCCAGAGACCGGUCCCCGAGAGUAAUCUUAGCCCAAUGAUGCAGUUUGCAUCAUUUGCUCUCGCGGACUCAACUCCAAGGCACUUUUUGUGCUUUGGACAUUCCCAACUCCCACAAAGGGUAUUCUCUCGACAGUCAGUCGAUCCUGGACGAAGUACAAUCCUCGUAUUUCGAGAAUUCACUUCCUUACAGUCACUUUGUUCAAUUCGCGAUAAUCCAUGCAGAGUCGAAGUGUGCUAUCCUUUUUCUUUACAAAUAGCACUGGAGCUCCCCACGGUGACACGCUCGGCCUCACAAAGCCUUUAUCGAGCAAGUCCUGUAAAUGAGCUUUCAACUCCUUAAGCUCCACCGGUGCCAUUCUAUACGGAGCCUUCGAAAUUGAUGCCGCCUCGGGAAUCAAAUCAAUGACAAACUCGAUCUCCCGGUCCGGUGGCAAUCCCGGUAACUCCGCCGAAAAUACAUCCGGAAACUCGUAUGCUACUCGAAUAUUCCCAAGUUCCGGGUGCUCCUUUUGAGUAUCUACCAUUGUUGCCAAGUAGGCCACACAUCCACCUUUAAUCAUUUUCCUCGCCCUCGCUGCCGAUACAGUCGUCGCGAAGCGCGAGCUUUUGCAUGCACGGUAUACUAUUUCCUCUUGAUUAGGCUCACGAAAUGUGAUCACUUUGCUUUCACAAUCGAUAACAGCAUAAUACUUGGUGAGCCAAUUGAUCCCCAAGAUUACAUCAAAUCCCCACAUUUGGUUUAGCACCAAUAAAUCUACUGGCAUAAUCCAAUCCCCUAUCUCAACCGGACAAGCCAAGCACUCCUCAUGCACCCUAAAUGAAUGCUCAGGUGCAUUGACCUACCAAUAAUCCGGGUUAUGUAUGAUCUCUAUGCCAUGAGUUUUUGCAAAUGAUGCACCAAUAAAUGAAUGCGAUGCACCUGUGUCGAAUAAAGCUCUAGCUCUAGUGCCAUUGAUCAAGAUAAUACCUGCCACGACAUCGUCAGGAACUGCAGGUUGCUCCUCCACCUGAGUGGCAAAAACCCGCCCACUCGGUGCUCGUGAUCCCUCUGGCUGACGGGGUGCGGAUGAGCGUCCAGCCAACAUAGCCGGCGGCAACCCCGCAAGCUGUCUCGGGGUAGAAGGAACUGAUGCCGUCGUCGGUGCAGACAACGCCCCACUUGGGCACUCCCGGGCCAUGUGCCCCGCUUGGCAACACAUGUAGCACUUUCCCUCGCGUUGCUGACAAGCCGACGGUCAAUGCUCAUCGCCGCAAAUAACGCAUCGGGAAGGCCUCCAAUUCUUUGAUUGCUGUCAGGGAUACUGAGGGGGUUUCUUUGCAUUCGGCCAGCCCCCGGCACCACCCGCCGCCCGCUUCUUUCCUUUGUCUCUCGACUCAGCCAUAGACUCGCGCUUCUCUCGCGCGUAGGCGUUGCCAUGCUCUGCCCACAAGGCUCGAUUAAAGAUGUCACCCCCCGCGACCAACCGCCUAUUUGGACAGGGUCGCGGCGCCAACGACAGACCGCCGAACGGACCGGGGAUUCCUUUGUAUGCGGACAGAGUCUCCCCAGUACGUCCAAGGCGUCGCAAUCCAAACAAUCAACGAAUGUUCCAACUAGGAACAGUAUCAAUCCAGAUUGCAUAAGGAAGUAUCAAAUACAUAAUCUACUUGCUAUUACAAGCAUUCAUUUUACAACCACUUUUUACAUCACAGUUUCUGUUUACAUUUUUACUUCCAAAUUACAAUCUCACUAUUACAUCAGAGUUAUCAAGUUUGAUACAUUUUCUUUUCUUGUCUUCUAGACCCCUAAGCUAGAUUGUCUCAGGAUACUGCUACCUCGGUCUCUGUGGUGGGGCGCUAUCUACUGAGCUACGCCCUCACCUCGCGCCGCCGCGCCGCGCACGAACAACCUGAAAACACCCCAAAACCACGUGGGGUGAGAACCAACUCCAUGGUUCCCAGUGGGUACGGCCACCCAAGGGAAAAGCUCGACCGACAGGUUCAAAGGAGGCAACUGCAGGUUAGUUUAAUAAACAGAUAGAUAGAUAUUUUGACUAUGCAAUUAAUAGAACCAUACCUUGCCUCGCAAUUGUAACAAUGCUAUGCAAUAUGCAAUACCUGUAAAUCAUGCAAGUAGAUUACUUGAUCUACUUUAUAUCAUUAACCAUACUUUACUUGUAGCCGUUCUUUUCUUUAUUAGCUAUUCACGUUCGUUAGUUAUUCUUUAUUCUUUACUCUUUGUCUUAUUGUGCUCACUGGCGAUUCUUUCCUAAGGUUAUUUUACCUUAGCCAUCUAUGCCACUCGACUCGGUCUCGAGUCAAUCAACUGCGGAUAGUCCGCACUCUGUCCGGCUCAAGGUGAAGGACCUCUCACUUACACCUCAGCCUUCAGUCUACAAACAUCUCGCCAACGGGUCGCCCAGAGCUGCGUACACCCGUGGUCAGGGAUCUUUCCGGUGGGAAGGGGAUUAUACCACAAACUCAACCCGCGGCCCAAGACCCCCGAUAGGGAAGGGGACAUGCCACACUCAACCCUAGCAAAGCACGAUUCUGCCGACAGGAGGGGGAACCUGCCACACUCGACCCGCGGCCUCGAAUCAGCCUCAAGCUCAUCCUCGAAGUUCGUCCAGUGGGAGGGGACCCUGUCACACUCAACCCACUGCUCUAGAACUGUCGAGUUCACAAUCCUAAGAUUCCGGAAUCUAUUUCCCAAGCCUCUAGGGUAAUCUCAAACCCUAUGAUAUCGACCUAUCUAGGUCCAAUGCACUUUCUGUCCUAGGUCUAGCUGACUCUAGGUUUAAUGCCUUUUUUCACAUAACCUAUGUUCUUUAAACUAGGUUAAGCCUCUCUACCUAGAUCUUAUUAACUCUAGGUUCAACAACACUAAGUUCAUUGUCAACCUAGGUUUACCAACACUAGGUUCGAUAUCGAUUUACCUAGACCUUGAAUCUAGGUUCAUUAUGUUCAACCUAUGUUCACGACACUAGGUUAAUGCCACUCGAUCUAGCCUAGGUUCACGACACUAGGUUUAACAUCAUUCAUAUUCAUCCUAGGUUCUUGACCCUAGGUUCAUAUUCGACCUAUGUUAAUUACACUAGGUUCGGCGCCACUCGAUCUAGUUGGCCCUACUUGUCCACAUCGAGUUUCUAUAAUCAUAUAUACUCUAGCAUGCAUUCUAUGAUGCCGACAUGCAUCUACAUUUAACAUAGCCUACAUUAUCAUCGUGCAUGUUAUACAUGUAUAGCUUUUCUCAUCAUGUCAAUAAGCAUUAUCCUCUCGCAUGCAUUUUCAUAAGGUCAAUAUGCUCUUGUCAUCUAACUUGUAUUCACAUGAUGCACUUAUGCAUUUUAUCCAACCGCACUUACAUGCUCUAUUAUGAGUUGACAUGAACUAGCACUUGCAUAUAAUUCCAAUGCAUCAACAUGCCAUUAGCAACUAGCAUAAUUACUAUCAUUUAGUACAUGCAUCUUAACUAACAUGCUCACAUAAUGUUACAUGCACCUAGCAUACAUUCCAAUGCACAAAUAUAUCGCUUGUAUCUAGUUACUAGCAUGUACUUCCCAAUGCAUUAUUAUGCAAUUAUCACUAAACAUUACCCAACAUGAUCUCAUAACUCAUAAGGUUAACAAUAGGUUAACAUUCAUUUAUAUGCUCAUGUUCUCUAAUACAUGUCAACAUGAAUCUCAUAAUGCUAAAUGCCCCAAGCAUGUAUUUCACUAAGCAUACAUACUAAUAUGCAAAUUACCAACUAGCAUGCAUUUAUACAAUGCAAAUAUGCCCGUAUGCACAUACAUAUAUGCAUCAACCAAAAAUCCAUAUUUCGCUUUGACAUGUGGGGCGACCAAGUCGCUUCGGUAAGCACAACCCACCUUAACACGCGUUCCGAUUGCUUGUCGACACUUGCAAUCGGCCGCCCGCGGCACCCGGCACCCGGUUUGGCCCGAUCUCACAAUUGCGGUCCAAGAGCGCGCCGCUUCGCUGUUUCAAGUGUAGAAGCUCUUCGCCACGCUAACACGAUGCCUCAAAUCCAUUUCCAUGAUUUUACGACGUCGCCUCGGCCCUCCCGGCGGACCCGAAGCCUAAACGUCCGUUUCUUUAAUAACUUCGCAACGGCUCGUCGGAUUGCCGAACCGUCUUCGCCAACGCGUUUCGUUACCUAGCAAUUAGGUUUACGGAUGGUCAAAUUAGAUCAAACCCUCAUAUUUUGAAAAUUAGCAUUUUGGAGCCCUAGGUUAUAACUAUGCAAGAAAUCACCAAAUUGAUUCAUGAUUUAAGCAUCAUUCAUCUAGAUAGCAAGCUAGGAUUCCUCUAAAUCUAUUUAUAAGCUAUUUAAACCAACCAUUAAGGAUCUACCAUGAGAGGGCUCAAGAAGCUCACCUCAAAAUUAGCUCCAAAUCAUGGAGAAGAUGAAGAAGACAAUGGUGAUCCACUCCCGAGCUUCAAUCUCCACCAAUUCCUUUAAAUUUUGGAGAGAUUUAGAGAGAGAAAGAGAGGGUUUUCUUUUCUCCUUCCAUGCGUGUGUGUGUUGUGUGCGUGUGAUGUGUUCGGCUGGGAGGAAGAAGAAGCAAAGGGGAUUUAAUCCCUUUUUACCAUUUUGCCCUCAACUACACACUAUUCAUUACGGGCAGCUUGAAAUCUGAUAAAUUUCGUUGGAGCCCUUCUGAAUGUCCGAUUGAGCUCAAAUUUGACAGGCAUGUUCGGUUUUACUUAAUGAGUCCAAAGAAAUUUUAAUAUUUCAGUUUCGACCCCGUUUGGUCACCGAAAGCUGUACCGAACUGUAAUCUUUAUCAAAUAGCUUUCGGAUUCUACUUUUCACCUUCCGGGUGUCAGAAUGGCAUGGAACUUUAAAUCUAGCAUCAUAAAAAUAUUUCUGACAUCUCCGCUAAUUUUCAUAAUUUUCUGACACUGUGCAUUUUCUGCUAAUUUAUCUGCCCCGUUUCUUACAGAAAAUUCUAAAUCUUCUGUUGUCGCUCCGAUUUCAGCACAGGUCAUUUCCAACUUAUACUUUACACCCUUAAAUCCAAUAAAAAUAGUAUCUCAUACUAUUUUUAUUUAUUUUCACUUUUAUAUUUAAAAUCCGGUAUGUUACAUUCCGCCGCAACCUCACCGGAGCCAUU